Non-coding RNA from Rattus norvegicus (Norway rat), 493 nucleotides. The record is from RefSeq and is a predicted model, not a curated record. NCBI's taxonomy places the organism in Eukaryota, Metazoa, Chordata, Mammalia, Rodentia, Muridae.
GGCGGAUGUAAGCGAUGCAGGCUGCAUCCUCGCCGAUGACGUGCACGUGCGGGUUCAGGAUAGUGGUGUGGAUCGGCUUGCUGUUCUUGGCCAGCACUGAGGACAAGCAUGUCUUCUGAACUGACAGCACCAGGAGUCCCUCAGCAUACGGCAAAAGUGGUUGGAAGUAAGAUAACAGCACUGUUUGGAUUCAAGCAUGCCACGAUUCCACCUUUCACUGUGCGUGCUGAGCUGGAAGCCACUGAAGGCACAGGACGCCCUCCAAGGAGAGGUAACCUGGCCCCAAAGAAGCCAGAGGCUAGGCUGCAAGUGACUGACCUUUGAGAGGUACGUGACAGGUAGGUGGAGGACGGGAUGAGAGGGAGGAGGGAUAGUCAUAUGGAAGCACUGUUUUGGCCCAUGUGGGUAGAUCAGGCCAGCGGGGUUUCCUUCUUUGACCUCCCCUGCCUCGAAUGGUGAGGUAAAUGGUGUUCAGGGAUAGGGUACAUCAAGA